UGCAAUAAUGGCGACAUUGAGAAUUUUAUCUCUGCGAAUUUGUCUUCGUCCCAACAAUUUGGCACUUUUCUGCCUUUCCUCACUUCCAUGCACCACACUCUCCGUUAUCUCUCUGCUCUGCUAUUUCAUCCGUUUCUCGUUAUCAUCUCUACGUUGUCGUAUUUUAUCAUCAACAGCGAAGAAAGAUGCAAACAUAAUAGUUCUCACUUAUUGGGUUUUAGUGCUGUUUUAGGACCACUUCUAUUACUCUAGUGAUUUUAUUUUUAAGUUUUCAUUUGUGCAAACUUGGUUCCCCAGUUCUCUGUUUUUUCAACAUAUUAUUACACUUUCUAUCGGAAAUAAUUAAAGUCCAAGUCCAACACACAAACUUUAAAUAGAGAGGUGUCUCUCCUAACAACUACACUCAUUUUCUAAUUUAUCUCCAGCAUCGACUCUCAUUAAGUUGAGAUGGGAUUAUAAAAUUUGGAUCAUAUACUCUCGUACUUGAACUUACAUAAAAAAUACAAUUUCAAUUGAUAAAAGAUUAUGUCGAAAGUGUUUUUUUUAUACUUUCCAAAUUGUGAUGAUUAAAAUAAAUAUAAAAGUGAGUGUUUAAAUGCUGACAUAUGGUCAAAAGUUAUGUGUAACGGCUUACAAACCGACUUUAAUAUACUCGUGUUUUUUUUUAUGUUGGAUUCGCUGUAAAAUACUUUCUUUCUUCACUUUUUUCAAAUUUAAUGUAAAAAUUUCAUACGGGAUUGUAUUCUUAGAGUGAAUUUUUUUUCUUUGAAGGUAGAGUGAAUUAUAAAUUAGAUAUUAAUGUACCAAAAAUAGCUAUAUUUUAAAAACAAAUAUGGUAUUAUUAGGUGAGAUAAUAUAAAGUGAAAAGAGGCAAACUUUCUCAUUGUAUUUAUUGGUUUCUAUGGGCCAGUCUCCAAAGGCUUUAGACACGAUUGGGUUUAUUGGGCCUAGAUGGAAGAUUGACGAGGCUCUCGGGCUAGGCCCUUUUUAUUUUCUAAAUUUAAUAAAUAUAAAUAUAAAUAAUAAUAAUUACGAAUUUACAAACAUAGACAUAUCGUGGAUAACAGAGGACUGGAGAAUAGCAGAAGCGGAGAGUAGAGGAGCAACAAUGGCGAGCGGCGCUUCACUUCAAAAUUUAAGACUGAAAACUUCAUUCAUGGGAGAUCGAUUCCUACGCUGCUCAACGCUGCAACCCCUUCCUCAUCUAUUCCGUUACAAUCCUGGAAGCAAACAUGUCUCGAUGCAGUUAUCUCGAUCACUUUCUGGUUUAACCAAUCUCUUAUUUAAUAGAAGGAAUGUAGAUGAAGUGGCCAACAGCAAGCGAAAACGUCUCAGACCGGGGAAAGUUUCUCCGCAACUACAAGUGCCAAAGGACAUACUACGGCCGCCAUAUGUAAAAACCAAGGUUCCGGCUGGACUUGUAAGUGGGCCUGAAGUGCAUGAUGAGAGGGGGAUAGAAUGCAUGAGAGCUUCUGGAAAGCUUGCAGCACAGGUUCUUCAGUAUGCCGGCACCUUAGUCAAGCCAGGUAUAACAACAGAUGAAAUUGACAAAGCAGUUCACCAAAUGAUAAUUGAUAAUGGAGCAUACCCAUCUCCUCUCGGCUAUGGUGGGUUUCCAAAGAGUGUCUGCACUUCUGUCAAUGAAUGCAUUUGCCAUGGAAUACCAGAUUCCCGUGUGCUUGAGGAUGGUGAUAUAAUCAACAUUGAUGUUACUGUUUAUCUAAAUGGCUAUCAUGGUGACACAUCAGCAACUUACUUUUGUGGCGACGUUGGUGAUGAGGCCAGAAAACUAGUUCAGGAUGCAUACUGAAGAAUGUCAGAUGAUAUUCAUUUACGGCCUUUUAUUAUCUGGUAGCCUGGAGUUGUACCCCUUGUUCCUAUAAGUGGUAACUAAAGAAUGCCUAGAUAAAGCAAUAUCUAUAUGUGCGCCGGGAGUGGAAUUCAAGAAAAUUGGCAAAACGAUUCA
Lotus japonicus is the source of this 1966-nucleotide RNA transcript. It is a transcript of the gene named methionine aminopeptidase 1D, chloroplastic/mitochondrial, with no coding region annotated. The transcript has 8 exons. The record is from RefSeq and is a predicted model, not a curated record. NCBI's taxonomy places the organism in Eukaryota, Viridiplantae, Streptophyta, Magnoliopsida, Fabales, Fabaceae.